AGGGUAACUAUCAUCAUGUGUCUGGAGGUC
Molecule: non-coding RNA, 30 nt
Filed under: Homo sapiens (human)
Lineage: Eukaryota; Metazoa; Chordata; Mammalia; Primates; Hominidae
Source: RNAcentral